RNAcentral lists this unclassified non-coding RNA (253 nucleotides) under uncultured Thermomicrobiales bacterium. RNAcentral's name for it is "contains 16S-23S intergenic spacer region". It matches the Rfam family "Bacterial small subunit ribosomal RNA", at positions 524 to 776 of the family's 1533-position model. The record is from RNAcentral. Lineage: Bacteria; Pseudomonadati; Thermomicrobiota; Thermomicrobia; Thermomicrobiales.
UACGUAGGGGCCGAGCGUUGUCCGGAGUUACUGGGCGUAAAGGGCGCGCAGGCGGUUGGUUACGGCGUGUGUGAAAGCCCCCCGCUCAACGGGGGAGGGUCGCGCGCAACGGGCCGACUGGAGGCAGGGCGAGGGCGGUGGAAUUCCCGGUGUAGUGGUGAAAUGCGUAGAGAUCGGGAGGAACACCAGAGGCGAAGGCGGCCGCCUGGACCUGACCUGACGCUGAGGCGCGAAGGCGUGGGGAGCGAACGGG